AUUGAACGCUGGCGGCAGGCUUAACACAUGCAAGUCGAGCGGUAACAGAGAGAAGCUUGCUUCUCUACUGACGAGCGGCGGACGGGUGAGUAAUGCCUAGGAAUCUGCCUAGUAGUGGGGGAUAACUUGCCGAAAGGUAAGCUAAUACCGCAUACGUCCUACGGGAGAAAGGAGGGGACCUUCGGGCCUUUCGCUAUUAGAUGAGCCUAGGUGGGAUUAGUUAGUUGGUGAGGUAAUGGCUCACCAAGACCGCGAUCCGUAACUGGUCUGAGAGGAUGAUCAGUCACACUGGAACUGAGACACGAUCUAGACCCCUACGGGAGGCAGCAGUGGGGAAUAUUGGACAAUGGGGGGAACCCUGAUCCAGCCAUGCCGCGUGUGUGAAGAAGGUCUUAGGAUUGUAAAGCACUUUAAGUUGGGAGGAAGAGCAGUUAACUAAUAUUUGACUGUUUUGACGUUACCGACAGAAUAAGCACCGGCUAACUUCGUGCCAGCAGCCGCGGUAA
RNAcentral lists this ribosomal RNA (506 nucleotides) under uncultured bacterium. RNAcentral's name for it is "partial 16S ribosomal RNA". It matches the Rfam family "Bacterial small subunit ribosomal RNA", at positions 30 to 523 of the family's 1533-position model. The record is from RNAcentral.